AGACGGCUUAGGGAUUGCAGCGAUAUCCUUUUCUUUUUUUCUUUGGUGCCUUGUACUGAUAUUGGGGGAAAAGAAAAGAUAAAGCGUAAAGCCCGACCCCGU
RNAcentral lists this small RNA (102 nucleotides) under Arenibacter nanhaiticus. RNAcentral's name for it is "Arenibacter sp. NH36A Flavo-1 RNA". It matches the Rfam family "Flavo-1 RNA". The record is from Rfam by way of RNAcentral. Lineage: Bacteria; Pseudomonadati; Bacteroidota; Flavobacteriia; Flavobacteriales; Flavobacteriaceae.